CCUCCUCCGGUCACUACAUCGACCUCGCCAACCGCUGACACAGUUAAACUAAAGGAGGUGAGUGCGGGUAGUAGCGCUGCUGAUCCCGCAACUGCUAUUGAAGACAUCCCUGUCAACGAACCGAGAGACACAGAACUUACCCAU
Long non-coding RNA from Asparagus officinalis (garden asparagus), 144 nucleotides. RefSeq lists it as uncharacterized. The record is from RefSeq and is a predicted model, not a curated record. The transcript is spliced from 3 exons. NCBI's taxonomy places the organism in Eukaryota, Viridiplantae, Streptophyta, Magnoliopsida, Asparagales, Asparagaceae.